GCUGGGCGGAUUAGUGGCGAACGGGUGAGUAAUACGUGAGUAACCUGCCCUUGACUCUGGGAUAAGCCUGGGAAACUGGGUCUAAUACUGGAUACUACGUCCCAUCGCAUGGUGGGGGGUGGAAAGGGUUUUACUGGUUUUGGAUGGGCUCACGGCCUAUCAGCUUGUUGGUGGGGUAAUGGCUCACCAAGGCGACGACGGGUAGCCGGCCUGAGAGGGUGACCGGCCACACUGGGACUGAGACACGGCCCAGACUCCUACGGGAGGCAGCAGUGGGGAAUAUUGCACAAUGGGCGGAAGCCUGAUGCAGCGACGCCGCGUGAGGGAUGACGGCCUUCGGGUUGUAAACCUCUUUCAGUAGGGAAGAAGCGAGAGUGACGGUACCUGCAGAAGAAGCGCCGGCUAACUACGUGCCAGCAGCCGCGGUAAUACGUAGGGCGCAAGCGUUGUCCGGAAUUAUUGGGCGUAAAGAGCUCGUAGGCGGUUUGUCGCGUCUGCUGUGAAAGCCCGGGGCUCAACCCCGGGUCUGCAGUGGGUACGGGCAGACUAGAGUGCAGUAGGGGAGACUGGAAUUCCUGGUGUAGCGGUGAAAUGCGCAGAUAUCAGGAGGAACACCGAUGGCGAAGGCAGGUCUCUGGGCUGUUACUGACGCUGAGGAGCG
This 661-nucleotide ribosomal RNA is filed under the name Kocuria sp. MJS4. RNAcentral describes it as "bacterial SSU rRNA". It matches the Rfam family "Bacterial small subunit ribosomal RNA", at positions 82 to 755 of the family's 1533-position model. The record is from RNAcentral. Lineage: Bacteria; Bacillati; Actinomycetota; Actinomycetes; Micrococcales; Micrococcaceae.